RNAcentral lists this ribosomal RNA (468 nucleotides) under uncultured bacterium. RNAcentral's name for it is "partial 16S ribosomal RNA". It matches the Rfam family "Bacterial small subunit ribosomal RNA", at positions 28 to 507 of the family's 1533-position model. The record is from RNAcentral.
GAUGAACGCUGGCGGCGUGCUUAACACAUGCAAGUCGAACGGAAAGGCCCUGCUUUCGUGGGGUGUUCGUGUGGAGCACGGGUGUAUCACGUGAGUGUCAUCCGCUUAUCUCUUUGGUAUGCCUUCAGGACACUGGGGAAUACCCCGGAUAGGCGCUCACGCCGCAUGGUGGGGGUUGGAGAGUUUUCGCGGUUGGGGAUGGACUCGCGGCUUAUCAGCUUGUUGGUGGGGUAGUGGCUUACCAAGGCGUUGACGGGUAGCCGGCCUGAGAGGGUGACCGGCCACAUUGGGACUGAGAUACGGCCCAGACUCCUACGGGAGGCAGCAGUGGGGAAUAUUGCGCAAUGGGCGGAAGCCUGAUGCAGCAACGCCGCGUGCGGGAUGACGGCCUUCGGGUUGUAAACCUCUUUCGGCUGGGACGAAGCGAGAGUGACGGUAAUUGGAAAAGAAGCACCGGCUAACUACGUG